RNAcentral lists this ribosomal RNA (371 nucleotides) under uncultured organism. RNAcentral describes it as "bacterial SSU rRNA". It matches the Rfam family "Bacterial small subunit ribosomal RNA", at positions 526 to 896 of the family's 1533-position model. The record is from RNAcentral.
CAGAGGGUGCGAGCGUUAAUCGGAAUUACUGGGCGUAAAGCGUGCGUAGACGGUUAUUUAAGUCGGGUGUGAAAGCCCCGGGCUCAACCUGGGAAUUGCAUUCGAGACUGAAUAGCUAGGGUACGGUAGAGGGAAGUGGAAUUUCCGGUGUAGCGGUGAAAUGCGUAGAUAUCGGAAGGAACAUCAGUGGCGAAAGCGACUUCCUGGACCAGUACCGACGUUCAGGCACGAAAGCGUGGGGGGCAAACAGGAUUAGAUACCCUGGUAGUCCACGCCAUAAACGAUGAGGACUAGACGUUGGAGGGGUAAGCCUUUCAGUGUCGUAGCUAACGCGCUAAGUCCUCCGCCUGGGGAGUACGGCCGCAAGGUUG